Strigops habroptila (Kakapo) is the source of this 928-nucleotide long non-coding RNA. RefSeq lists it as uncharacterized. The transcript is spliced from 2 exons. The record is from RefSeq and is a predicted model, not a curated record. NCBI's taxonomy places the organism in Eukaryota, Metazoa, Chordata, Aves, Psittaciformes, Psittacidae.
AGAACAUUGAGGCUUUACAAUAUCUAUAUGUUCUGUAACCUUUUACAACAAAAUAUGAAGAAAAAUAUUCUGUAGAAAUAAGCUAUUACAUAAAGAUAAGCUGGUAAGCUGUUUUUAAUCUGGAGGCUUGUGCUUGAAAUGCCGUCAACUUGUCAUGUUGUUUUAAAUGUGAUACCACAGAAUGGGAUAGAUCAAGAUGGUCUGAUGUUCAGCAUUAAAUCUGAGCACAGAGAAUUUUCUUUUUUUUUUUUUAAUAGCUCCUUUACCUGUUCUGCCCAAAAGCAGCGUAGCUGAGUUACUUAUUAAAAGACCUGUUGGGUAAACAGGGUGUAAUACAUUUUUAUCCGUUGAACUAUUGGAUCAUUGUGGCAUCUCCAUCUUGUUUUGGAUAAGGAGAAAUCUUCAAUGCUUUUUCAGUGCCUGAAACGAAUAGUAUGUUCUAUGUUCACGAUAGUGUGAUAUUGAAGCAAAAUACAAAAUUUUGAACUGUUAAGGCUUAUGAGACAGCAUGUGGUUAGUGUUCCAGAAAGCGUGCAAGUGUGUUUCUAGGAAGACUAAUGAUGCAACCACCAAAUGUUUUUCCUAGUUGAGAAGUCUUGGCCAUCUCAUUGCAGUAAAAUACUCGAUCUUAGCAACAGUUGCUAUGUAGGACUACCUUUUUAGGCUAUGUUGGUACCAUUUUAAGAUGUUAAAAGCUCUGCAGUGUUCCUGCUGAUUCACCUCCUACACUUGUGAGACUUAACUGUGUAGCUUAGGACUUCCAUUUUACGUAGAAAAAUGAUUAGCAAAGGUUUUAUUGAAAGGGUAUCUACAGAGUUAAAAGCUACCAUCGGCAUAGCCAAAGAGGAAAUGAGGCUUGUACUUUGUGGGUUUCUAGCGUGGAUGAUUUGUUCUUAUUAAGCAGUUCUGGGUAUAUAUCAUAAAACAA